Molecule: ribosomal RNA, 718 nt
Filed under: uncultured bacterium
Lineage: Bacteria
Description: bacterial SSU rRNA
Rfam family: Bacterial small subunit ribosomal RNA
Source: RNAcentral
AUGCAAGUCGAGGGGCAGCAUAAGGGUAGCAAUACUCUGGUGGCGACCGGCGCACGGGUGAGUAACACGUAUGCAACCUACCUUCAACAGGGGAAUAACCCGGAGAAAUUCGGACUAAUACCCCAUAAUACAGGGCUCCCGCAUGGGAAUAUUUGUUAAAGAUUAAUCGGUUGAAGAUGGGCAUGCGUUCCAUUAGGUAGUUGGUGAGGUAACGGCUCACCAAGCCGGCGAUGGAUAGGGGAACUGAGAGGUUUAUCCCCCACACUGGAACUGAGACACGGUCCAGACUCCUACGGGAGGCAGCAGUGAGGAAUAUUGGUCAAUGGAGGCAACUCUGAACCAGCCAAGUCGCGUGAAGGAUGACGGCCCUACGGGUUGUAAACUUCUUUUGUAAGGGAAUAAAGUGUAGUACGUGUACUAUUUUGCAUGUACCUUACGAAUAAGGAUCGGCUAACUCCGUGCCAGCAGCCGCGGUAAUACGGAGGAUCCGAGCGUUAUCCGGAUUUAUUGGGUUUAAAGGGUGCGCAGGCGGGAUGUUAAGUCGGCGGUGAAAUUUUGCGGCUCAACCGUAAAAGUGCCUUCGAAACUGGCAUUCUUGAGUAUAGAUGAAGUAGGCGGAAUUUGUGGUGUAGCGGUGAAAUGCAUAGAUAUCACGAGGAACUCCGAUUGCGCAGGCAGCUUACUAAACUAUAACUGACGCUCAUGCACGAAGGCGUGG